GGGGUCGUCGAUUAGCCUGGAAAAUUGCUCGCUUGGCAUGCGAGAGAACGGGGGUUCAAGCUGUGGAAAAUCUCUUUCCUAGGGAAUAAAUCCCCCCGACUCCA
Molecule: transfer RNA, 104 nt
Filed under: Promethearchaeota archaeon
Lineage: Archaea; Promethearchaeati; Promethearchaeota
Description: Candidatus Lokiarchaeota archaeon (microbial mat metagenome) tRNA-Ala
Source: RNAcentral